GUUCGGUAUAGGUCUAAUACUCCACUUGUUCUGAAAGGAAUCUCCCUUAGAAUCAACGGAGGAGAAAAAAUUGGCAUCGUUGGGCGCACUGGAAGUGGGAAGUCUACUCUGAUACAAGUUUUCUUUAGGCUUGUUGAACCUUCAGCGGGAACCAUCAUAAUUGAUGGUGUUGACAUUUGCAAGUUAGGACUUCAUGAUCUAAGAUCACGCUUCGGCAGUGGAACCUUCAGCUGGAACCAUCAUAAUUGAUGGUGUUGACAUUUGCAACUUAGGACUUCAUGAUCUCAGGUCACGCUUCGGCAUCAUUCCUCAAGAACCAGUACUGUUUCAAGGGACAGUUAGAAGCAAUAUUGAUCCCCUAGGACAGUAUU
RNAcentral lists this long non-coding RNA (371 nucleotides) under Nicotiana benthamiana. RNAcentral's name for it is "long non-coding RNA (NBEN_LNC031938)". The record is from RNAcentral. Lineage: Eukaryota; Viridiplantae; Streptophyta; Magnoliopsida; Solanales; Solanaceae.